This 135-nucleotide ribosomal RNA is filed under the name Aspergillus fumigatus. RNAcentral's name for it is "partial 28S ribosomal RNA". Lineage: Eukaryota; Fungi; Ascomycota; Eurotiomycetes; Eurotiales; Aspergillaceae. The record is from RNAcentral.
UGACCUCGGAUCAGGUAGGGAUACCCGCUGAACUUAAGCAUAUCAAUAAGCGGAGGAAGUCCAUCCGAUCGGAGGGCCGUUGGGUGAAACCCCAAUUUUAAACAUUUGUAGCAAAUAUAUUUUUGGCUGUGAAAU